GACGAACGCUGGCGGCGUGCUUAACACAUGCAAGUCGAACGGAAAGGCCCUGCUUGCAGGGUACUCGAGUGGCGAACGGGUGAGUAACACGUGGGUGAUCUGCCCUGCACUUCGGGAUAAGCCUGGGAAACUGGGUCUAAUACCGGAUAGGAGCCAUUUUUAGUGUGAUGGUUGGAAAGUUUUUUCGGUGUAGGAUGAGCUCGCGGCCUAUCAGCUUGUUGGUGGGGUAAUGGCCUACCAAGGCGGCGACGGGUAGCCGGCCUGAGAGGGUGGACGGCCACAUUGGGACUGAGAUACGGCCCAGACUCCUACGGGAGGCAGCAGUGGGGAAUAUUGCACAAUGGGCGAAAGCCUGAUGCAGCGACGCCGCGUGGGGAUGACGGCCUUCGGGUUGUAAACUCCUUUCGCUAGGGACGAAGCUUUUGUGACGGUACCUAGAUAAGAAGCACCGGCUAACUACGUG
This 463-nucleotide ribosomal RNA is filed under the name uncultured bacterium. RNAcentral describes it as "partial 16S ribosomal RNA". It matches the Rfam family "Bacterial small subunit ribosomal RNA", at positions 28 to 507 of the family's 1533-position model. The record is from RNAcentral.